This 253-nucleotide ribosomal RNA is filed under the name uncultured bacterium. RNAcentral describes it as "partial 16S ribosomal RNA". It matches the Rfam family "Bacterial small subunit ribosomal RNA", at positions 524 to 776 of the family's 1533-position model. The record is from RNAcentral.
UACGAAGGGUGCAAGCGUUACUCGGAAUUACUGGGCGUAGAGCGUGCGUAGGUGGUUUGUUAAGUCUGAUGUGAAAGCCCUGGGCUCAACCUGGGAAUUGCAUUGGAUACUGGCAGUCUAGAGUGCGGUAGAGGGUAGCGGAAUUCCCGGUGUAGCAGUGAAAUGCGUAGAUAUCGGGAGGAACAUCCGUGGCGAAGGCGGCUACCUGGACCAGCACUGACACUGAGGCACGAAAGCGUGGGGAGCAAACAGG